UACGGAGGGUGCAAGCGUUAUCCGGAUUCACUGGGCUUAAAGGGUGCGUAGGAGGACAGGUAAGUCAGUGGUGAAAUCUCCGAGCUUAACUUGGAAACUGCCGUUGAUACUAUCUGCCUUGAAUAUUGUGGAGGUGAGCGGAAUAUGUCAUGUAGCGGUGAAAUGCUUAGAUAUGACAUAGAACACCAAUUGCGAAGGCAGCUCGCUACACAUAUAUUGACUCUGAGGCACGAAAGCGUGGGGAUCAAACAGG
RNAcentral lists this ribosomal RNA (253 nucleotides) under uncultured bacterium. Its description in RNAcentral is "partial 16S ribosomal RNA". It matches the Rfam family "Bacterial small subunit ribosomal RNA", at positions 524 to 776 of the family's 1533-position model. The record is from RNAcentral.